Molecule: long non-coding RNA, 1082 nt
Organism: Calidris pugnax (ruff)
Lineage: Eukaryota; Metazoa; Chordata; Aves; Charadriiformes; Scolopacidae
Exons: 3
Source: RefSeq, a predicted model, not a curated record
AAUAACAUGCUUGAAGACAAAUAUAACAUUUCAGGUUCUGCUAUGAAAAGUAAUAGCGAAAUUCAUGCAAUCAUCCAAAUCAGUCAGUAACUUUCCAAGGCAGCACUGGGAGAAACACAUUAAAAAAAUGUAGAAGAGGAUGGUUUGCAACUUGGUGGGUGGCCCUAAUGCCAGGAUCCCACUGGAGCAUCUGAAUCACGGGAGGCCAUUCCUCACUCCCAUGACACUUGGCUGAGUUAAGCUGAACUGGCUGUUACGAGCGUGACCCACGUUGCUUCCUCCAGGAACGAGGAGCUCGCCUUGCCAAGAGGAGCUCUCCUCACUGUGCAUCUCUCCAAAAUGGGACAAAUCCGUGUCAGGUAGCCCAGCAGCUGCAACAGGAGCUGAGCACGUCAAAGGGCUAGAGACCCACUUUCUAUCUGAGAGCAACAAGACCUUUUAACCACUUCUUAUUUUAUGGAUAAACUUACAAUGAUUCCUCAAAGCUAUUUGCCAGAAGAAAUGAAAUACUAAAGAAGAGCUAAGAGGCAGAAGCAAACCUGCAUUCUUUUAGGUUUCUGAACUACUCUGUUCAGAUAAAACAUCUGCUUAAGUGCCUGCUUGUUAUAUCAUUAUGCUCAACUUUUUUUCUGACUGUUAUUCAUCAUGAGAAAGAAUUCUAAACAUGGUAGCACACCACGGGUGUUCUCACUUGUGCCAAAUGUACUAUGCUACCACAGCCAGUCAUAACAAGGCAUUAUUUCUAAUGGAAAAGGUGGUUUAUGUCUCUAGCAAAACAAUAUUAUUUUUAUCUGGUCACAAUGACACAUCUGUUGUAUGCCUUGAUUUUAACAGCAAAAGCAUUAGUUUGUAUUGAAUUUUCAAUUUUGCUAUUUUAUCUUGUUUCUCUUCUCUGUAUUGUUUGUGUAAUAAACCCCCUCUUGUUUGAGGGAAACCUCUUUUGUAUUUAGUCAGGAGGGUGUGCUAGCAAGCUGUCUUUCAACUGGCAGAAUCAAAUAUAGUAUAUGCCAUAAAAUGACAAUCAAGUAUCAUCUGAGAAGACAGAAGCAUGUUUAUUUCCUCUCCUAUCCAGAGAAUCAAAA